GGGGAAUAUUGCACAAUGGAGGAAACUCUGAUGCAGCGACGUCGCGUGAGGGAAGAAGGUCUUCGGAUUGUAAACCUCUGUCUUCAGGGACGAUAAUGACGGUACCUGAGGAGGAAGCACCGGCUAACUACGUGCCAGCAGCCGCGGUAAAACGUAGGGUGCAAGCGUUGUCCGGAAUUACUGGGUGUAAAGGGAGCGCAGGCGGACCUGUAAGUUGGGAGUGAAAUACAUGGGCUCAACCCAUGAACUGCUUUCAAAACUAUAGGUCUUGAGUGGUGCAGAGGUAGGCGGAAUUCCCGGUGUAGCGGUGGAAUGCGUAGAUAUCGGGAGGAACACCAGUGGCGAAGGCGGCCUACUGGGCACUAACUGACGCUGAGGCUCGAAAGCAUGGGUAGCAAAC
This 400-nucleotide ribosomal RNA is filed under the name uncultured bacterium. Its description in RNAcentral is "bacterial SSU rRNA". It matches the Rfam family "Bacterial small subunit ribosomal RNA", at positions 356 to 773 of the family's 1533-position model. The record is from RNAcentral.